UACGAGGGGGGCAAGCGUUGUUCGGAAUUAUUGGGCGUAAAGGGUGCGUAGGCGGUCUGAUAAGUCAUCUGUGAAAUCUAUGGGCUCAACCCAUAGUCUGCAGGCGAAACUGUCGGGCUUGAGUAUGGGAGAGGUGAGUGGAAUUUCCGGUGUAGCGGUGAAAUGCGUAGAUAUCGGAAGGAACACCUGUGGCGAAAGCGGCUCACUGGACCAUUACUGACGCUGAGACGCGAAAGCCAGGGGAGCGAACGGG
This 253-nucleotide ribosomal RNA is filed under the name uncultured bacterium. Its description in RNAcentral is "partial 16S ribosomal RNA". It matches the Rfam family "Bacterial small subunit ribosomal RNA", at positions 524 to 776 of the family's 1533-position model. The record is from RNAcentral.